Molecule: long non-coding RNA, 394 nt
Filed under: Pogona vitticeps (central bearded dragon)
Lineage: Eukaryota; Metazoa; Chordata; Lepidosauria; Squamata; Agamidae
Description: lncRNA (ENSPVIG00000017139.1)
Source: RNAcentral
CCAUCCUCCUUCCUUAUCAUUCCGCUGUUUUCAACUAAAUUCUAUACCAAAGUUGCCCAGCCAUAAGUAGAGAAGGAGAUGUUGCUAUGUCAAUGGCCCCAAGGAGUAUUCGAAGGAGGCCAUGCUGGAAUCCUUUAAUAUAACACACUGUUUGAAUGAUAUUUUCAGGUCUACUGAUUAACUACACUUUCAUUCUGCUGCUCUUCAAAAAUCCUCAAGCAUCAAUCAGUAGCAAGCCCUUAGCAAUACUAAGGGAAAAUUUUUGUUCACUCAGAACAAUGCGGGCAAGGCCAAGAUAUUUGAAUGACAAGUGCAAAGGAUGAAAAACCCACUCAAGAGAGAAAGCAAACAUUUCUAGGAUAACAUUCUAACCCCCCUUUUUAUUCAAAUAAAC